UAGGGAAUAUUGCACAAUGAGCGAAAGCUUGAUGCAGCAACGCCGCGUGCGCGAUGACGGCCUUCGGGUUGUAAAGCGCUUUUCGGGGAGAUGAGGAAGGACAGUAUCCCCGGAAUAAGUCUCGGCUAACUACGUGCCAGCAGCCGCGGUAACACGUAGGAGGCAAGCGUUAUCCGAAUUUACUGGGCGUAAAGCGCGUGCAGGCGGUUCGGUAAGUUGGAUGUGAAACCUCCCGGCUCAACUGGGAGGGGACGUUCAAUACUGUCGGACUUGAGGACGAUAGAGGGAGGUGGAAUUCCCGGUGUAGUGGUGAAAUGCGUAGAUAUCGGGAGGAACACCAGUGGCGAAAGCGGCUUCCUGGCCCAUUUCUGACGCUCAGACGCGAAAGCUAGGGUAGCAAACGG
Molecule: ribosomal RNA, 404 nt
Filed under: uncultured bacterium
Lineage: Bacteria
Description: bacterial SSU rRNA
Rfam family: Bacterial small subunit ribosomal RNA
Source: RNAcentral